GCCAACUAUAAUGCACCUCGUGAAGAUGAACAAAGUUUGGGAGACGAUGAUGUCGACGAAAGUAUGGAUGCAGAUGGUGUUGAUGUAGAAGAUGAUAAUGUAGAGCAAGAAGAAGAUGUUGACACUGAUAAUAUUCAGAGUGAUGUUCUGGAGGAGGCAACUGAUGACGAGAGAUUGGACUGUGGUUUUGUUGAUGAGGU
Lolium rigidum is the source of this 200-nucleotide long non-coding RNA. RefSeq lists it as uncharacterized. NCBI's taxonomy places the organism in Eukaryota, Viridiplantae, Streptophyta, Magnoliopsida, Poales, Poaceae. The transcript is spliced from 3 exons. The record is from RefSeq and is a predicted model, not a curated record.